Molecule: long non-coding RNA, 325 nt
Organism: Stegastes partitus (bicolor damselfish)
Lineage: Eukaryota; Metazoa; Chordata; Actinopteri; Pomacentridae
Exons: 4
Source: RefSeq, a predicted model, not a curated record
CCACUGACGCUCUGCCAGAACACUUGGAGAUAAAUAUGGAGGCUUUUCAAGUUGUACCUGUCUUUGAGAAACCACACAAUCAUAAACCCACAUAGAAGAAGGAAAAGAUGGGGAUGCAGAUUUAGAAGAGGAAGAGGAACACAAAGAAGAGUAAGCGACGUGUCCAUCUUCACACAAUGCCAGAACUGAUGGGAGGAAAAGAGUUAGUGUAGAAAUAGGAGCCUGUGAGAAGAUUGAAAGGUGGGGUCCAAGCCAAGGGAAAAGAGAUUACAUCACAAAAGCAAUGAUGGUGCAGCAAGACCCAUGAAUACAUUACACCAUCAUA